RNAcentral lists this long non-coding RNA (2244 nucleotides) under Homo sapiens (human). Its description in RNAcentral is "uncharacterized LOC93463 (LOC93463)". The record is from RNAcentral. Lineage: Eukaryota; Metazoa; Chordata; Mammalia; Primates; Hominidae.
GCCUUGGCUGGCCAUGUGCACCUCAUUCCAUGCCAUUCCAACAGUUGCUGUGCUCCCAGGCUUAUAUAAGAAGAACCAGUUUUCCCACUUCAUGAUUUUGCAGCUUAAUGGGAUGGAUAUGGAAGAGAAUAACUUAGCUUCUAGACAGGCACAAUCGCAGACGUACACAGAGGCUGGAAGACGGUGCACACCAUUGAGAUACGUGUCUCAUCCAGCCCGCCACAUGCAGCCGGAACCAGGCCACCGCCUGGGUGUCCCUUGUGUCCUGUCCUCCUACCUCUUCUCUCUGGUCCCCACAUUCCUUCCAGAGUUUCUCAUACAUGGAUUGCUCCCAGGCUCCCUUCCAUUGGGGGCCAGAGGUUCUCACAGAGCACAGAGAAGGGGACCAUUCGCCCCUGGGACCAUCAGGGGAAUGAUCUAGAAGUCAAGCAAAUGUUCUAGCCCUUCAGGGUCUUCAAGGGAGAUUACGGGGGAAGAAGGCUGAGGUAGAGAGCAGGGCCUCUAUACAUUUAAGCUCAUAGAGAUACAGAGCAUAUGAAGAUAUGGGAAUUCAGAAGAGUUCCGUCCAACAGAAAUGUAAUAUUGUAAAGUAACAGCAGCAGCAGCAGCAGCAGCAGCAGCAGCACUUGAAUAUGAUACCAACAAACAGGAAGUGUCAGGAAGACGCCUUGCAGAACUGUCAGCCUGUGGAGUUGUUUCCCCAAGAGAGUUUGGAGUUAGAAAGAGAUUGUCCUCUUCCUGUCACAUGUGACACUGGGACUACUCACUCUCAUCAAGAGAAACAUGACACUUCUCACAGGGGUGUAGACUAGCCCCCCACGAUAAUCAUGCAAUAGCCCUAACAUCAAUUCAUGCACUGGGAUGUUCGUGAAUUAAUAUUAAAUAAUAUUACAGAAUGGACAGCAAGGGAAUUCAAUUCCUUCUUAUAUCACCCUGAGAGUGGAGCCUACAAAUCCUCCUGAGUCUUUGAGGUUCUCUAUUCCUGUUAUCCUUGAACAAGAAAAUGUGCACAUGUACACACACACACACACACACACACACACACCACUAAUUUCCCUGAAAACACAAGAAUGAGCAAUAAUAGAUAUGCACAGACAAAAUGAAGUGAUGGGGAUUUUAUUUACCUUCUACCCUGAAACAAUCAAAACACAGACAAAAUAUGUGAUAUAAUGUUUUCAAGUCACUGGACAUCAAACAAUGAAGGGCAGUGAACCCUCUGAGAUAGCAAAUGAACAAUAAUGAGGCCUCCAAUUGCUCAGUCUGUCUUCCUUGAUAGUGUUUCCAGGCUCCUGUUCAGAGAAGGGGGAACCCAGGCAGAGCUCAGUGGAGUCCCUGAGUUGGAGAGACACAACUGAGAGUAUAGAGAAAUCCCAGAGGCAGGAGCUCACAGGACAGAAUUCCAGCAAGGAGAGUACUGCACAGGAAGAAUGACCAGGAGGCAUACAGAGGGUGCAGAGGGUCACCACUGAGGGUUCCAGUGAGUACUUAUGAUCACAUGAAAACCUCCCAAGUUUGGGGAAGGAACUACUCAAAAAGACUGGAAGUAACUGGAGCUGACCAAGGCCUGAGAACAGUGCCUGUUUCUAUUAGCCAGACUGAAGAACUUCAUGAUUCACAGGACAUUUGGUUUGAAUACACAGAGAGCCUUCCCUUAAUCAGUGGGGAAUAAGUAGAAAUAGACUCAGCAUUGUUAUGGUCCUACCUAGAAAAUCUUAAAAGCCAGACUCAAAAGGAUCAAUCUAUUUCCAGUAACUUAAUUGCAUCCCAGAAUAAAGCUCAAUAAUAUUGAAAGGACUACAGCAACUUUCAGCACCCAACACCAGGCAUUCAGGGAAGCAGAAGAAUAUAACCCUCAAUGGAGAGAUCCAAUAAGCACAGAGAACCUUAAGUAUAGGAAGAUGUGAAGAAAAUUACACGAAAGCACAUACUAACCAAAUUGGCUAAAACCAAUGACUAAGAGAACAUCUUAAAAGCAGUCAUACAAAAAAGACAAAAGGAAAAGACAGACAAAAUAAAGAGGAGGGAAGAUAAGGGUGACAGCAGAUUUCUCAGAAGAAACAAUGCAAGUGAGAAGCCAUUGGAGCUGCAUUUUAAAAGUACUGAAAGAAAAAAAUUGCCAAUCUUGAAUUCUGUUCCCAGUGAAAAUAUUUUUCAAAAACAAAGAUGAAUAAAGACUUUUUUCAGAUUGGAAAAGCAAUUCCAUCAAGUGAAUAUAUUAUAAUUUUUCUAUUAAAAAAAAAAAAA